RNAcentral lists this small RNA (81 nucleotides) under Microcebus murinus (gray mouse lemur). Its description in RNAcentral is "Y RNA (ENSMICG00000046470.1)". Lineage: Eukaryota; Metazoa; Chordata; Mammalia; Primates; Cheirogaleidae. The record is from RNAcentral.
GACAGGCCAGAGCCACUGGGCCCAGCCUACAAAAUUCUUUGUUCCCUCUUCACUUCCACUGCUUUACUUGACUAGUCAUGA